GUUCCUCUUCUCAAAACACCCAAAUUCAUCCCAAAAAUCGCCAAAAUUUAGGCGAGUGAAACCUAAUCUCAAAACCACGCGUUCCAUCUUUGUCUCCUCUUGCCAUUUCUAACUGUUUCUGACAGUUUCCCUCUCUCUCACAUGCCAACUUAAUUUUUUGGAUUUUUUACUCUUUUAAAAUGGAUUUUGGGAAAAAUGGGAGGCAUUGGAUUGAGUAAUAUUGGAUCCACUCCCUUCAUUUUUCCGCUUUAUCCAUUAAAAAAUGCGUAAAAAUUGGAUUUAGAAUUUGGGGGAAAGUUAUUUUUAGAGGGAUUUCUUAGAGAUAAAGGCAGAAGCUUCGAGAAUCCUUGAAUGAUAUAAAAGAGGAGUUUCAGAGAAAUUUUGGAGAGGUAAAAAGUUUUAGGGUUAUAUGUUCUUUUUUAGAUUCUUCACGUUUGUAUUGCAUUUUAGAAAAACAAAAUAAAAAAAAUUAUUUGAGUUAUUUUUACUCGAGUUUUGUUUCAAAAGAAAUCAGACAACUAACAAAAGAUCUCAACAUUUAUUUUGGUUUUUUGUUCUCAUGAAUGUAGCUUGAUUGAAGUUUAAGUUUGAGUCUGUGUUUAGAUUUGGAAUUCUGGUUCUGAUUCGAGGUCCACUCGUGAAUUUCGGUCGCGUGUUGUGACGACCUGGCCCGUUAUCAUGUGAGUUACCACCCUAUUUUCCUUAUAUUCUAUUUCUCUAUGAUUCAUUAUCGGUAUUUGAGGUGAUUGAGUAGAAUUGGAUUGGUUUUCGAUGGAAAUGAGACACUUAGUCUCUUAAAGGGAAACUUAUUUUGGAAAAGUUAACCGGAAGUUGACUAUAUAGUUAGAGGGUUCGGAUGUGAAUUUGGGUGAUUUGGUUAGCUUUGGGAGAUGAUCUGUGACUUAGGAGUGCGAUCGAAAUUUAAUUUGGAGGUCCGGUGUAGAAUUAGGUUUGAAUUGGCGAAGUUUGAAUUUUGGCGAAUUGUGAUUGUUAGGUGAGAUUUUGAUCCAAGGAUCGGAAUGGCAUUUUGAGAGUUCCAGUAGCUUCGUUAAGUUAUUUUGGAUAGGGGUGCAAAGUUUGAGAUCAGUCGGAGGUGGUUAAUUCAGGUUUUUGAUCAAAUGUGCAAUUUGAAAGUUCUAAAGAAACUUAGGCUUGAAUCCGAUGUGAAAUGAUGGUUUUAGUGUUGUUUGAUGUGUUUUGAUGAUUGGAAUAAGUUCGUAUGAUGUUUUGGGAUAUGUUGGUGCAUUUGGUUGAGGUCCCGGGGGCCUCGGGGAGAUUUGGGAUGGUUAGACAUGAAGUUUGGACUUAGGAUUUAUUGAAGAAAUGCAGCAGCUGUUACAGGCCACUUUUGGCCUUCACGUUCGCGGAGGGGUCUUCGCGUUCACAUAGUGGUAUGUUGUGGGUCAUCGCCUACGCGUUAAUGGCCUCGAGUUUGCGUAGAAGGUCCUGGGGGGUCCUGCCUAGUUUGUUCGGUGUAUUCGCGAUGUGGGAGUCGCGUUUGCGUAAGAGGAGGUCCUUAUGCAUCGUGUUCGCGCAUGGAGUAUCGCGUUCGCAUGGUAUCGGCAGUUAAAAGAUUGCUUUCGUGUUUGGAGUGCCGUGUUCCCGAAGUGUUAAAAUUGUCGGAGAAUUUCUUUUGCAUCGCGAACGCGAGGGGGGGGAGGGUCUCGCGUUCGCAUAGAAAGAAAUCUGGGCGUCCAGAGGGGAUUUUAUAUUAUUUCAUCCACGACCCAUUUGUUAUUUUCUCCAUUUUUGAACCACUUUGAGAGCUUUUGGGUAGAAGUUGAAGAGGGUCUCGACGGGAUAUGAUUGGAGGUAAGUCUCGUGACCUAGAAAUGUUUUUUUUAUAGUGGAAUCAACAUUUAAUUCUUGGAAAAUUGGGUGAAAAUUGACGAACUAGGGCUUCGGUUUUGAAAUGAAAAUUUGGGAUUUGAGGGAGUAUUUGAACCCCGAUUUUGGUAAAUUUGAUAUGUAUAGACUCGUGGCGAGACGAGGAGUCCGAUGAUAUGAAUUUUGUAAUUUUUUGAGAAGUGGGCCUGGGCUCGGGUUUUGCCAACUUCGUGAUUUUUGGUGUUUUUCUAGUCUUGUCGAUUGGGUUAUGUUUCUUUGGCAGUUUGUAAUGUCUUCAUUGUGGUUUUAGCCAGAUUCAACGCGCGAGGAGGUCGAUACGAGAGGAAAGGGCAUUGCUAGCUAGUCUUCGGCCGGCUAGAGGUGAGUAAUAGAUAUAGAUGAUGACCUGAGAGUUUGAAACCCCGGUAUAUCACACUCUAAGAUUAUAUUAAGGCGAGACACGCACUCCGUGACAAGUGCGGGGUAGUUUGUGAUCGGGGAUUAUGGUUUUGUCCGCCCCGAGUGGUGUCCAAGCUGUGAUUUGCACUAUAGACUGAUUAGCAAACAUCCUACUUGGAUUGUUAUGAUAUAUUUGGGCUGUGUGCCAACUAUUUGAAUCCCCUAGGGAUUAUAGUCACUGCUUCUAGGAUGAUUGGCAUGCUAUAUGAUUUCAGUCUUGAGUUUAAACACUUUUUCGAGAUACUUAGUCACAUACCGGAGGUUUUAAAGACUUAAACAAUAAUUUCCUAAUAAUUGAAACUGAGAAUUAAAAUAUAAUUUUACUCUAUAACUCAUAUGCAUAUUCUGGACUGAGUGUUGAUCGAGCGGCAUGCCACAUCGAUGAUACGAUGAAAUUGCGCUUGGGCUGUAGGAGCCUUUCCGGAGUCUGAACCCCCACAGUGAGCGUGGGUACCCAAAUGGAUCGGGCUGUACGCUGCAGUGGUCAUUUGCAUUGCAUUGCAUUCAUUCUUUGAUGUUAUCUGACUUAUUUGAUUCUGUCUUGUUGCCAUUUUAACGUUAAUUGUGCUAAAUGAUUAGUUUUAGCUUUACAUUGUGGUACUUUCGAGAUUUCUUACUUUCAGUCAUUAUAUAUGUCUAUUACCACUGAGUUGGAAAUACUCAUUUUACACCCUACACCAUGUGUGUAGAUUCACGUGUUUCGGGAGCUUAGUCGAGCUGUUUGCUGCUUCCAGAGCUUUGAGGAGUUGUCGAGGUAGCUGCUUGACGUGCGAAGAACCCGACUCCUCCCCUCAUCCCUUUUAUCUUUCCGCAUUCUAGAAAUCUGUAUUACAUGAGAAUUUGCUACUUUUUUAUCUUAGAGUCUCUAGACUCAUGACCCCAGGUCUUUGGGAGAUGUUGGCUAUGUUAGUGUUCCAGACUAUUUCUAUUUAAUUUUAUUUGGCUAAUAAACAUGACAAGAUGCUAAUUUCAUGUGUUUACUCGGUAAUGGGAUUUAUGAGUAUUGAUUGGUCGGGCUUGUGUAGCAAUUGUGUUGGGCACCAUCACGACCGGGAUUGGGGUCGUCACAAGUUUGUGUCAGAACCUAGGUUACUAGGUAUCAUGAGUCUUGAGCCGGUUAGUAGAGUCCCGCGGAUCGAUACAGAGAUGUCUGUAUUUAUCCUCAAGAGGCUGCAGAACCUUUAGGAAACACUUCAUAUUCUUGAACUCUUGUCGUGCGGUUUUGUUGAUCCGAGAACUAAACUUUUGUAUUCUAUUCUCUCGCAGAUGGCGAGAACCCGUGCUAUCAGAUAUGACGGACGACCACUAUUGCCACCCGCUAGA
RNAcentral lists this long non-coding RNA (3609 nucleotides) under Nicotiana benthamiana. RNAcentral describes it as "long non-coding RNA (NBEN_LNC042536)". The record is from RNAcentral. Lineage: Eukaryota; Viridiplantae; Streptophyta; Magnoliopsida; Solanales; Solanaceae.